Molecule: long non-coding RNA, 957 nt
Organism: Gadus chalcogrammus (walleye pollock)
Lineage: Eukaryota; Metazoa; Chordata; Actinopteri; Gadiformes; Gadidae
Exons: 4
Source: RefSeq, a predicted model, not a curated record
GGUACGGUGGGCGGCUCCUUCUCUGUGCAAUCUGAACCUGACUGCUUGCUUCGCACUUCCAUGGACAAUCUGCUGCGGUUGCAGCCUGCAUUUGAGGAGAGGAGGUCCGGAGGAGGUAACGUAUUUAUAUUUAUUCAUGAUGAUGACAAUCUGUACAAACUCCUUUGUCGUAGUUUGACCGAGGGCAGCGAACGAGUUAUCUUGAUAGUUUCUAAGUUCUAUCAUUGACGUUGAAGCUAUAGCCAACAAUAGCUUCUCGAAGCCAAGUAGGCCUAGCUGCCACAGUCAAGUUGGAUCUGCCCGCUGUUAGCGAUAGCAUUACAUAAUUGUAUCAUCUUAGAUGCAGUUAGAGUUUAGAUGAGGUAACAUUAAUGCUAUGCUACCCUCGGCCAGUCUUCCCAUGUGGUGACAUUUUAUUUUACCAUAGUUAAGCUUAUCUAAGCUUGUUAUUGAUGGGCUAGUGUAACACAAUUCCAAGUGUGUAGGCCUAGUGGUUAUAUUUCUGACACUGAUGCAAUCCAUUUUAUUAUCCUUCUCCAGACCAGACCUGCUGCAAGUGCCUUUGCGUGGACUGAAAAAAGGUGGUUGCAUAUGCAUUACGUUGUGAAAAUACCGAAAACACAAAACUGGGGGGUGUGUGUAAAUUAUGCCACGCUGGACAACUACUAAAUACAAACAAACCUUCUCCUUGUGGACAUAGCAGAUAGACACACUGUUGAGUCUUGACUGCUCCAUCGUGGAGCGGAGCCAAUUCUUCAAACGACGCAGGGCACUGAAGCUCCGCUUCACAAGAAGAGACUGGGACCACAAGCAACAGCCUAACAAGAGCCUCCACCUGGGUGUUGCUCCAACAUGGCCAAACGGCCAAGGCCCUCUUGGUUGAACCUCUCAUCCAGCUGCAUGCUUGCUGUAUCGAUGGCAGAGAAAAAUUGCACCCUGAAAAAUUCCUCUGCCGAA